UAGCGAGAUAAAAGGUGCCUGUACCGCAAACCGACACAGGUAGGCGAGGAGAGAAUCCUAAGGUGUGCGAGAGAACUCUGGUUAAGGAACUCGGCAAAAUGACCCCGUAACUUCGGGAGAAGGGGUGCUUUCUUAACGGAAAGCCGCAGUGAAUAGGCCCAAGCGACUGUUUAGCAAAAACACAGGUCUCUGCGAAGCCGUAAGGCGAAGUAUAGGGGCUGACACCUGCCCGGUGCUGGAAGGUUAAGGAGAGGGGUUAGCGUAAGCGAAGCUCUGAACUGAAGCCCCAGUAAACGGCGGCCGUAACUAUAACGGUCCUAAGGUAGCGAAAUUCCUUGUCGGGUAAGUUCCGACCCGCACGAAAGGUGUAACGAUUUGGGCACUGUCUCAACCAGAGACUCGGUGAAAUUAUAGUACCUGUGAAGAUGCAGGUUACCCGCGACAGGACGGAAAGACCCCGUGGAGCUUUACUGUAGCCUGAUAUUGAAUUUUGGUACAGUUUGUACAGGAUAGGCGGGAGCCAUUGAAACCGGAGCGCUAGCUUCGGUGGAGGCGCUGG
RNAcentral lists this ribosomal RNA (559 nucleotides) under Bacillus mycoides. RNAcentral describes it as "bacterial LSU rRNA". It matches the Rfam family "Bacterial large subunit ribosomal RNA", at positions 1624 to 2192 of the family's 2925-position model. The record is from RNAcentral. Lineage: Bacteria; Bacillati; Bacillota; Bacilli; Caryophanales; Bacillaceae.